UACGGGGGGGGCAAGCGUUGUUCGGAAUUACUGGGCGUAAAGGGCUCGUAGGUGGCCAACUAAGUCAGACGUGAAAUCCCUCGGCUUAACCGGGGAACUGCGUCUGAUACUGGAUGGCUUGAGUUCGGGAGAGGGAUGCGGAAUUCCAGGUGUAGCGGUGAAAUGCGUAGAUAUCAAGAGGAACACCUGAGGUGAAGACGGGUUGCUGGGCCGACACUGACGCUGAUGCGCGAAAGCCAGGGGAGCAAACGGG
RNAcentral lists this ribosomal RNA (253 nucleotides) under uncultured bacterium. RNAcentral describes it as "partial 16S ribosomal RNA". It matches the Rfam family "Bacterial small subunit ribosomal RNA", at positions 524 to 776 of the family's 1533-position model. The record is from RNAcentral.